UUCCCAUGAUUAGGACAUUUUCUAAGCAAAUACUUAUAUCUCUCCCAAGCUGCAUACAAGCUCUCACUUCCAUCUUGUGCAAAACUAAGGAUCUGGUCACGAAUUGCA
Molecule: non-coding RNA, 108 nt
Organism: Triticum aestivum (bread wheat)
Lineage: Eukaryota; Viridiplantae; Streptophyta; Magnoliopsida; Poales; Poaceae
Source: Rfam